UCAUGCUGCUGUAAAAUGUAAUCUCCAUCCACAUCCAGACAGAAUUCUCCUCUAUUCUGUCUCUAUUUUCUCUGCUCUUGUCUGGGCUGACGUAGCUGAUGGUGCGGUACCCUUAUGAAAGAGUUCUACAUUGAGAGGUACAUUUAAGAAGUGCAGGUAGAGUUAGAAAAAUCUGCAGGGCCACAAACACAUUAGGGAAGAUGGACUGUAGACUAUUUUUUAGCCCGAAAACGAUCAUGGUUCUAUUUAUAUUGCAUUAUUCAUGUGGACUCUCCGGGGAUUAUUUAGAACUGAGAGGUGCAGAGCUCUGAUCGUUGACGUGCUCCAGACAGAUGCGUCCUGAGAACGGCUACAGUAACAUUCUCAAAGUGUCACCACCUCAAAAACAAAUUUAACAUGCGAUCAUUUAUAUCGGCUCAUAUCCUUUUAUGUUUUCUGUCUUUUGUUUGUGCCUGAUGUGUUUUGCUGCUGCAGAGCGCAUAACCAGUUUCGUCCUCCGGUGACUUCGCCUCACCGGUGCAGCCGGCGCGCUCUGCUAUAUUUACGAGUCCACAUCCAGAAGGCUGGAGCCGUAUUUCACUGACAGGCUGUCAGACUAAAACCCUGAUGAGCUCAGCUGGGACAAACUCUGGUCUGAUGUUUAGGAACACAAAACGCUCAGAUGUUGGAGCUUCACGUCACCUACUGAGGAAGGAGACCCACCAGUAAAGAGACGGUAGCUGGACCAGACCAAAGACCAGUUUGAAGCCCACAUACAGCCCCUCCCUCAUCAUCAGGAAACAUCAAUCCGUAUCCUGAGGACAACAGAAGACGGAAGGAGGACAGGAACUCUGAGACCUAGAUACCACCAGCACUGGGACACAAAGCACCUGUGUGUACAACGCCUACUAAAGCCUAUUUAUUAUAUUGUUCUGCUUCUUUGCUGUGAGGUUAAUACUUAGAAAAGUUGUAUAUUAAUAUAAACAAUAAAAAAAAUCACUGAUAGUACGUUUCCUCUUAGAUGUAAUGUCAGCCUUGUAAACAUUUAUUGCAUCCUGUAGGUAAACACACAGAACAGGCUCAGAUACAUGAUGAUCCAGCAUGCUUCUUCAUUCUGGCUUUCAUCUAAUGUAUUUAUUUAGAAUGCAGGUAAGAUUUAACUAUAUUUGUUAGCAAAGCAGACUGAUCUUGGGAAUUUCUCCGCAGCACUGAUUUCUCAACCUCUGUGUACAUGUUAGAAUUAACACGGUUACAGCUAAACACACACUUAAUAAAGAUAUAGGCUAUGAAUUGCAGACAAUAAAAACGUAAAGAUGUAAGCAUUAGAAUGAUAAUGAUCACAUUAAAGAACAUU
This is a non-coding RNA of Nothobranchius furzeri (turquoise killifish), 1333 nucleotides long. The record is from RefSeq and is a predicted model, not a curated record. Lineage: Eukaryota; Metazoa; Chordata; Actinopteri; Cyprinodontiformes; Nothobranchiidae.